RNAcentral lists this ribosomal RNA (754 nucleotides) under uncultured archaeon. RNAcentral describes it as "bacterial SSU rRNA". It matches the Rfam family "Archaeal small subunit ribosomal RNA", at positions 155 to 912 of the family's 1478-position model. The record is from RNAcentral.
GAUGGGCCAUGGCUCCUGGAAUGGGCUAUGGCUGAAAUCUACAUGGCCCCAGGAUGGGACUGCGGCCGAUCAGGUUGUUGGUGGGGUAAUGGCCCACCAAGCCUAUAACCGGUGCGGGCUCUGAGAGGAGGAGCCCGGAGAUGGGCACUGAGACAAGGGCCCAGGUCCUAUGGGGCGCAGCAGGCGCGAAACCUCCGCAAUGGGCGAAAGCCCGACGGGGUCAGUCCGAGUGGUUCCCGCUGAGGGAACCUUUUGCCAGCUGUAAACAGGCUGGCGAAUAAGGGGUGGGCAAGUUUGGUGUCAGCCGCCGCGGUAAUACCAGCACCCCGAGUGGUCGGGACGAUUAUUGGGCCUAAAGCAUCCGUAGCCGGCCCAGUAAGUCCUCCGUUAAAUCCAACGGCUCAACCGUUGGGCUGCGGGGGAUACUGCUGGGCUAGGGGACGGGAGAGGCGAGGGGUAUUCCCGGGGUAGGGGUAAAAUCCACUGAUCCCGGGAGGACCACCAGUGGCGAAGGCGCCUCGCUAGAACGUGCCCGACGGUGAGGGAUGAAAGCUGGGGGAGCGAACCGGAUUAGAUACCCGGGUAGUCCCAGCCGUAAACGAUGUAGGCUCGGUGUUGGGCUGCCUCAGUGGCAGCCCAGUGCCGCAGGGAAGCCGUUAAGCCUACCGCCUGGGGAGUACGGCCGCAAGGCUGAAACUUAAAGGAAUUGGCGGGGGAGCACCACAAGGGGUGAAGCCUGCGGUUUAAUUGGAUC